GACGAACGCUGGCGGCGUGCUUAACACAUGCAAGUCGAGCGGUAAGGCCCUUUCGGGGGUACACGAGCGGCGAACGGGUGAGUAACACGUGGGUGACCUGCCCUCAGCUCUGGGAUAAGCCUGGGAAACCGGGUCUAAUACUGGAUAUGACUCCAUGACGCAUGUUGUGGGGUGGAAAGCCUUGUGCGGCUGAGGAUGGGCCCGGCGGCCUAUCAGCUUGUUGGUGGGGUGANGGCCUACCAAGGCGACGACGGGUAGCCGGCCGUGAGAGGGCAACCGGCCGACACUGGGACUGAGGACACGGCCCAGACUCCUACGGGAGGCAGCAGUGGGGAAUCUUGCGCAA
Molecule: ribosomal RNA, 346 nt
Filed under: uncultured bacterium
Lineage: Bacteria
Description: bacterial SSU rRNA
Rfam family: Bacterial small subunit ribosomal RNA
Source: RNAcentral